GGCUGGCUUUGAACCUCGCUCCUCAGAUCUCAGCCUCCUUAGUAGCUAGGAUGACAGACAGAGGUGAGCCAUCGGCGCCCAGCUGGAUAAAGGUUUUAAUAAUCUUAAAUGCUAUAUUGCUGAACCACUUGAUAACUUAUUUUUGUCAGGAUUGGACUCCAUAGGUCCCUGAUGAGCUCCUCUGACAAAAAUGUGAAAGAUCACCAAGAGCUUAAUCACUUUGGUGUUUGACCUAUUGUAGUCACAGGAAGAAUUUUCUUAACACUUAGAAAAAAAAUAAACUUCCCUAAAGAUAUAACAAAAGUACAUAUCAAGUUAUUAGUAGUCAGUGAUUUGAAUAUUUGUUUCUAAAAGUGAGCUAAGAUGAGUCUCCUGAGGGAAAAAGAAAAACCAAUGAGGAAAACUGAACUCGAAGUACUAGAGAUACAAAGCUUUGUUUGGGAGAGAUUCCAUUGGACCUCAGGGUGUAAAACACCUUCCACUUAGGAAUAACAGCACCACACUUAUGUCCAAGGCUUUGUUGGAGAAAAAAAGGUAUUUUUAUAAUGGUGACACAGCCCAGGG
Molecule: long non-coding RNA, 564 nt
Organism: Perognathus longimembris pacificus (Pacific pocket mouse)
Lineage: Eukaryota; Metazoa; Chordata; Mammalia; Rodentia; Heteromyidae
Exons: 3
Source: RefSeq, a predicted model, not a curated record